This 253-nucleotide ribosomal RNA is filed under the name uncultured bacterium. Its description in RNAcentral is "partial 16S ribosomal RNA". It matches the Rfam family "Bacterial small subunit ribosomal RNA", at positions 524 to 776 of the family's 1533-position model. The record is from RNAcentral.
UACAGAGGUCUCAAGCGUUGUUCGGAUUCAUUGGGCGUAAAGGGUGCGUAGGCGGCGCGGUAAGUCGGAUGUGAAAUCUCGGAGCUUAACUCUGAAACUGCAUUCGAUACUGCCGUGCUUGAGGACUGGAGAGGAGACUGGAAUUUACGGUGUAGCGGUGAAAUGCGUAGAUAUCGUAAGGAAGACCAGUGGCGAAGGCGGGUCUCUGGACAGUUCCUGACGCUGAGGCACGAAGGCCAGGGGAGCAAACGGG